Molecule: long non-coding RNA, 2687 nt
Filed under: Mus musculus (house mouse)
Lineage: Eukaryota; Metazoa; Chordata; Mammalia; Rodentia; Muridae
Description: RIKEN cDNA C630043F03 gene (C630043F03Rik)
Source: RNAcentral
AAAGUAACGUGGGGCGAGUAAGGGAGCGCGCGAGUGCGCGCGAGCCCGAGCGACCUGCGCGCGGCAGGCAAGUAAAAAGCAGGGGGUUGAAGUUUGCAGAAGCCUGUGGCUCGCUCCGCUUUUCCUUGAAGGAAAUCUCAGUGAAAGUAGCAGAGACUAACCACGGGGUUUCUUGUUGGGGGAGGGAUGCGUCUUGGUAACAAGAACAGAACUCGGCUUUUCGGUAUUGGUUCCCUUUGUGCUACUCUGAAGGUGAGAUUUCAUUCACAACUUUAUCGGAGGCUUAUUUUUCCGCGAGCUGCCGUUCCACGGACGCACGAGAAAGAAGUUAACUGUGCCUUUGAUGGGAAGUGCGUGAGUAUCGCAGCAGCUGGCGUGCACACACAUCGUGGCAAGACUGGAACCGCUGCACCGGCUUCGUAGGAUUUUGCGCCACUUCUUGAAAGGUCGACCUGUCUCCAUUUUAGCAUGAAAGAUCCCUAAGGUGCCGGUGCCGGCAGUCUUUGAUACACGUGUUUCAGGCACAGAGGAGAUGCGCCCCGUGAGAAAUAAUGAGUUCCGGUUUUGGAAUGCUUUCACAUUUGGAUAGGAGGGAAAUGGCCAAGCGUUUUUUGGAGACUGCCUGGAAAGCACUAGUCAGUUUCAAAUGUCUGGAAAUGAAAGGCAAUGGGAUAAAUCAACGUUGAGACCUGAAACCUCCCCCUCCCCCUCCCAAGUUGCUUUGGUUGUCCUCCUGGCAGAAGCGUGGAACUACUGAGAAUUGGUAAAUGAAGCAGCUUGAGGAUCUUGUUUGAUGAGGAUUGACUUAAGAGGAAUUUCGAAGUUUUAAAUAAAGGAGACAUUCUACUAAGCUAAUGCUGACCCGCCGGAUUUGUUUAUUUGUUUCUGUUUUUUUCUGUUUCUCUAACAGAAAAUCUGUAGUAUCUUUACCUGUGUGCCUUCUUUAAAGAGCAGUUCAUGGAGCUGUUUUUUUAUUUGAACCACGAGUGAAUGAUGCAGUUUUAGCUUCUUGGUGGUAACUUCUCUGGUAAGAAAGGCACUGCUUUGGCAAGCAUUUAUCUUUUGUUGAAACUUAGUUAACAAGUUUGGGGCGUCAAUACAUCCGUCCCCAUUGUUUUACUUUAUAGAGACUUUCUGAAAGGAGCUUUCUGAAAUAGAUAUAAAUUUGCUCCUAACAGGUUUUUUUUUUCUUUGAAAUACUCGAAAAAAUGGGUAUUACAUUACGGUGUUUGAAAUGAUCUUUUUAAACAUGUAUACUACUUACGUGUCUGAAAGUGCAUCAAUUAUAAAUGAAAAACAGAAGAAAAGCAUCAACCAAUCUGUAGACCUCAAUGAAUGCUUAAACUGAUUCAGUGUAAUUUGAGGUUGUUGCUCUUUCUUGGAAUUGGGAAGAGGUUUAUGUUACUAGUUUUCAUAGAAUGCAAAAUGAAAAAGAAGAAAACCAGGGCUCUCUUUCCUUGGUUAGAUUUGGUGGUGUGUGGGUUGGCCAAAGGAACAAUUCAGCGCUUUUUGAACUCCUGUGAUCCUGAUGUUCUUGAGAAAGCAUCCUCUCUCUAGGGAUUUGAUCACUUUCUCCAGUCCAUGGCCAGUCCAUUUGAUCAGCUCCCAGGCUAGGUUGGAAACACUUGGGAUGCUGCAAGUCUAUGCUUGUGCCUACCGUGAAGUUUUCUCCCCGGGGUCCUAUCCAAAAGUUUUAUCUAUCAAGUGUUACUUCACUUACUGGAACACACUGAUAAUUAAGUUUAAAAGUACUAAGUUUAGGGUCAGAAGCAAAGUGUUAUAACUUGCCCACUCCCCAAAUCAGUUCUAACUUGCUGUCUUUACUCUCCACUACCUGUUCACAGAACUCAAUAGAGUUCCCAAUUUGUUGUGAAUAAAAACUAAAAUGACUCUAUUAACUAAUGCUUUCUUAGGAACAGCCUUUGAGAACCAACUCUUUGGAUUUUUUUUAAUGCAGUAUUUUAAAAUUGGAAGCCUUCUGAUUGCAUAUAAAAGAUGUCUAGAUUUUGAAGGCAUCUUUCCCUUUAGGUUAUCUUCCUUGAGAAUAGGAGGCAUCUGUGUCUUUUUUCAUUCUCAAGAUCAUAUUUGUUCUGAUUGGCGUGCUAUAAUAAUUAUAUUGCAAAACUCAUCAAACUGUUACGGAUGAUGGUGUUUAGGACAAUCAAGUUGCUUUAAUCCUGUGCUUGAAAUGAAUAAUAUAUGUGCAGUUACUUCCUGCUUGUUUAAAAUAAUAUAGUCUUGCUCAUAGAUCUAUAAUUUUGAUAUUUCACACUUUUGUAUAUUCCUUUGUUUUUUGAGACAGCAGUCUCAAUCUGCAUUGCAGCUAACUUAGAACUCACUGUGUAUAUAGUCUACACUGGCCUCAAACUUGAAUAUGUAGCUGUCCUCGUCCCACUGCUUCUCAAGUGCUGAGAUUUGGUGCAGACAUGUACCAUCAAGUCUGGCUUUAGUCUUUUGUUUUAAAAUCUGUCAAUAAUGUUAAAUAUACCACCUCCAAAGGUGUCUUGGAAAAAAUAAUACCCAUUUCAUCCUCUGGAGGAGCUUGUUAUUGGUUCAUUUUAUCUUGAUGCACAUAUAGAUGUAUUUUCAUUCAUUUCUUUCUAAUUACAGUUUUUCAACACAGUAUAAAUAAUCAUUUAAAAUAAAUAAACAUGGCUAUUUUGUCAUCUUUUGUUUUGAGACAGGGU